GAUGAACGCUGGCGGCGUGCCUAAUACAUGCAAGUCGAGCGAACGGACGAGAAGCUUGCUUCUCUGAUGUUAGCGGCGGACGGGUGAGUAACACGUGGAUAACCUACCUAUAAGACUGGGAUAACUUCGGGAAACCGGAGCUAAUACCGGAUAAUAUUUUGAACCGCAUGGUUCAAAAGUGAAAGACGGUCUUGCUGUCACUUAUAGAUGGAUCCGCGCUGCAUUAGCUAGUUGGUAAGGUAACGGCUUACCAAGGCAACGAUGCAUAGCCGACCUGAGAGGGGUACGGGCCCACGUGGAAAGGGAACCCCGGUCAAGACCCCGAGGGGGGGAAGAAGUGGGGAUUUUGCCAAAGGGGGAAAAAGCCUAGCGGACAACGGCGGGGGGGGAGAAGAGGGUUUCGGAUGAGAAAACCUUUUUAAUUGGGGAAAAACAUUUGUAUAGGAAAGUGUACACAUUUAACGGGUCCUAAAACAAAAGGCCGGGUCAAUCACGG
RNAcentral lists this ribosomal RNA (496 nucleotides) under uncultured bacterium. RNAcentral's name for it is "partial 16S ribosomal RNA". It matches the Rfam family "Bacterial small subunit ribosomal RNA", at positions 28 to 506 of the family's 1533-position model. The record is from RNAcentral.